This is an unclassified non-coding RNA of Sarcophilus harrisii (Tasmanian devil), 275 nucleotides long. It matches the Rfam family "Metazoan signal recognition particle RNA". From Rfam's summary of the family: The signal recognition particle (SRP) is a universally conserved ribonucleoprotein. It is involved in the co-translational targeting of proteins to membranes. The eukaryotic SRP consists of a 300-nucleotide 7S RNA and six proteins: SRPs 72, 68, 54, 19, 14, and 9. The record is from Ensembl. Lineage: Eukaryota; Metazoa; Chordata; Mammalia; Dasyuromorphia; Dasyuridae.
GCCAAUAAAUUCCAGUUUAUUAGGGAGGAUGAGGCUGACAGAUCUAAGUUCAGUUGUUCUGAAAUGCAGUGGGCUAUGGUGAUUGGGUCUCUACACUAGGUCUGGCAUUAAUAUGGAGAGCACCCAGUAAGCAGGCCUUCAUGUUGUAUUAGGAGGGGUGAACUAGUCAAGGUUAGACACUGAGCAGAUCAAAAUUCCUGUGCUAAUCAGAGUGGAAUCAGGCCUGUGAGCAGUCUCUGUAUUUCUAGCUUACCUGAGAUAGAAAGACCUGUCUU